CUCUAGUCCAAUGUGAAAAUUUGGUAAAUAAAGGUUGACCAAAGUGAAAUUUACUUAAAUUUUUUUAUAACUAGUAUUUUUAUUAUUAUGAGAUGAUAAAACAUGAAUAGUACUUUAUGUUUUUAAAUUUUUUCAAAAAAAUUCUAAAUAAGACGGACGGUCAAAGUUUUGCACAGAAAAUCAUGGUUGCACUUAAA
This is a non-coding RNA of Oryza glumipatula, 197 nucleotides long. The record is from Rfam. NCBI's taxonomy places the organism in Eukaryota, Viridiplantae, Streptophyta, Magnoliopsida, Poales, Poaceae.